RNAcentral lists this ribosomal RNA (711 nucleotides) under Triticum aestivum (bread wheat). Its description in RNAcentral is "partial small subunit ribosomal RNA". Lineage: Eukaryota; Viridiplantae; Streptophyta; Magnoliopsida; Poales; Poaceae. The record is from RNAcentral.
AUGCCGCCAGGAGGUGGAGAAGGAGAAGGCGAGCAUGGCAGCACGGUGCAGAGCCAUCCACCGGCGACCGUCCGCGGCGACGAGGACGCCCCGCCCCAUUCUACGCCGCCGCUCCCCGUCAUUGUCCAUGUAGCUUCCGAGGAGAAGAAGCAGAAUCUGGAGCCCGUGCCGAACCUUCCCGAGGGCGCCCUCGUCGAGAUCCUUUCACGAGUGCCCUACAAGUCGCUCUGUCGCUUCAAGUGCGUGUCCAAGCCGUGGCUUGCUCUCUGCUCAGCCCCUGACAUCCGCAAGAGGUCGCCACAGACCCUCUCUGGCUUCUUCUACUACCAAGCCGGACGCCUUUGUUUCCGCAAUUUGUAUGGGAGAGGUCCGCCUCUGGUCGACCCAUCUCUCCCUUUCUUGCGCGAAAGCUACUGCCACAUUUUUGUCAAACACGUCUGCGGGGGCCUUCUCCUCUGCAUCUGCUCGAAUAAUCUGCGAGACGAGUCCUAUUAUGUUGUCUGCAAUCCUGCUACCGAAGAGUGGACUGUGCUGCCUCCUGUCGGAUUUCCAGGUCGCGAUCCGAUCGCUUUCCUAGGUUUUGACCCUGCUAUUCCAUCCCGUUUUGUGGUGUUUGCCCCCAAGAACCAGAUGGUUGGUACUAUGAACGAUUACAGACAAAGUGGCAAUCUACUCGACAGAAACUGGACGGUGGACUCAUGUGCAAAGUAA